This 2926-nucleotide ribosomal RNA is filed under the name Salmonella enterica. Its description in RNAcentral is "23S ribosomal RNA". It matches the Rfam family "Bacterial large subunit ribosomal RNA". The record is from RNAcentral. Lineage: Bacteria; Pseudomonadati; Pseudomonadota; Gammaproteobacteria; Enterobacterales; Enterobacteriaceae.
GGGUUGUGAGGUUAAGCGACUAAGCGUACACGGUGGAUGCCCCGGCAGUCAGAGGCGAUGAAGGGCGUGCUAAUCUGCGAUAAGCGCCGGUAAGGUGAUAUGAACCGUUAUAACCGGCGAUACCCGAAUGGGGAAACCCAGUGUGACUCGUCACACUAUCAUUAACUGAAUCCAUAGGUUAAUGAGGCGAACCGGGGGAACUGAAACAUCUAAGUACCCCGAGGAAAAGAAAUCAACCGAGAUUCCCCCAGUAGCGGCGAGCGAACGGGGAGGAGCCCAGAGCCUGAAUCAGCAUGUGUGUUAGUGGAAGCGUCUGGAAAGGCGCGCGAUACAGGGUGACAGCCCCGUACACAAAAGCGCAUGUGCUGUGAGCUCGAUGAGUAGGGCGGGACACGUGGUAUCCUGUCUGAAUAUGGGGGGACCAUCCUCCAAGGCUAAAUACUCCUGACUGACCGAUAGUGAACCAGUACCGUGAGGGAAAGGCGAAAAGAACCCCGGCGAGGGGAGUGAAAAAGAACCUGAAACCGUGUACGUACAAGCAGUGGGAGCACAGGUUUACCUGUGUGACUGCGUACCUUUUGUAUAAUGGGUCAGCGACUUAUAUUCUGUAGCAAGGUUAACCGAAUAGGGGAGCCGGAGGGAAACCGAGUCUUAAUUGGGCGUUAAGUUGCAGGGUAUAGACCCGAAACCCGGUGAUCUAGCCAUGGGCAGGUUGAAGGUUGGGUAACACUAACUGGAGGACCGAACCGACUAAUGUUGAAAAAUUAGCGGAUGACCUGUGGCUGGGGGUGAAAGGCCAAUCAAACCGGGAGAUAGCUGGUUCUCCCCGAAAGCUAUUUAGGUAGCGCCUCGUGAAUUCAUCUCCGGGGGUAGAGCACUGUUUCGGCUAGGGGGCCAUCCCGGCUUACCAACCCGAUGCAAACUGCGAAUACCGGAGAAUGUUAUCACGGGAGACACACGGCGGGUGCUAACGUCCGUCGUGAAGAGGGAAACAACCCAGACCGCCAGCUAAGGUCCCAAAGUCAUGGUUAAGUGGGAAACGAUGUGGGAAGGCCCAGACAGCCAGGAUGUUGGCUUAGAAGCAGCCAUCAUUUAAAGAAAGCGUAAUAGCUCACUGGUCGAGUCGGCCUGCGCGGAAGAUGUAACGGGCUAAACCAUGCACCGAAGCUGCGGCAGCGACACUGUGUGUUGUUGGGUAGGGGAGCGUUCUGUAAGCCUGCGAAGGUGGCCUGUGAGGGUUGCUGGAGGUAUCAGAAGUGCGAAUGCUGACAUAAGUAACGAUAAAGCGGGUGAAAAGCCCGCUCGCCGGAAGACCAAGGGUUCCUGUCCAACGUUAAUCGGGGCAGGGUGAGUCGACCCCUAAGGCGAGGCCGAAAGGCGUAGUCGAUGGGAAACGGGUUAAUAUUCCCGUACUUGGUGUUACUGCGAAGGGGGGACGGAGAAGGCUAUGUUGGCCGGGCGACGGUUGUCCCGGUUUAAGCGUGUAGGUGUGUGUUCCGUGUAAAUCCGGUUCACUUUAACACUGAGGCGUGACGACGAGGCACUACGGUGCUGAAGCAACAAAUGCCCUGCUUCCAGGAAAAGCCUCUAAGCAUCAGGUAACAUCAAAUCGUACCCCAAACCGACACAGGUGGUCAGGUAGAGAAUACCAAGGCGCUUGAGAGAACUCGGGUGAAGGAACUAGGCAAAAUGGUGCCGUAACUUCGGGAGAAGGCACGCUGACACGUAGGUGAAGUGAUUUACUCAUGGAGCUGAAGUCAGUCGAAGAUACCAGCUGGCUGCAACUGUUUAUUAAAAACACAGCACUGUGCAAACACGAAAGUGGACGUAUACGGUGUGACGCCUGCCCGGUGCCGGAAGGUUAAUUGAUGGGGUCAGCGCAAGCGAAGCUCCUGAUCGAAGCCCCGGUAAACGGCGGCCGUAACUAUAACGGUCCUAAGGUAGCGAAAUUCCUUGUCGGGUAAGUUCCGACCUGCACGAAUGGCGUAAUGAUGGCGGGCUGUCUCCACCCGAGACUCAGUGAAAUUGAACUCGCUGUGAAGAUGCAGUGUACCCGCGGCAAGACGGAAAGACCCCGUGAACCUUUACUAUAGCUUGACACUGAACAUUGAGCCUUGAUGUGUAGGAUAGGUGGGAGGCUUUGAAGUGUGGACGCCAGUCUGCAUGGAGCCGACCUUGAAAUACCACCCUUUAAUGUUUGAUGUUCUAACGUGGACCCGUUACCCGGGUUGCGGACAGUGUCUGGUGGGUAGUUUGACUGGGGCGGUCUCCUCCUAAAGAGUAACGGAGGAGCACGAAGGUUGGCUAAUCCUGGUCGGACAUCAGGAGGUUAGUGCAAUGGCAUAAGCCAGCUUGACUGCGAGCGUGACGGCGCGAGCAGGUGCGAAAGCAGGUCAUAGUGAUCCGGUGGUUCUGAAUGGAAGGGCCAUCGCUCAACGGAUAAAAGGUACUCCGGGGAUAACAGGCUGAUACCGCCCAAGAGUUCAUAUCGACGGCGGUGUUUGGCACCUCGAUGUCGGCUCAUCACAUCCUGGGGCUGAAGUAGGUCCCAAGGGUAUGGCUGUUCGCCAUUUAAAGUGGUACGCGAGCUGGGUUUAGAACGUCGUGAGACAGUUCGGUCCCUAUCUGCCGUGGGCGCUGGAGAACUGAGGGGGGCUGCUCCUAGUACGAGAGGACCGGAGUGGACGCAUCACUGGUGUUCGGGUUGUCAUGCCAAUGGCACUGCCCGGUAGCUAAAUGCGGAAGAGAUAAGUGCUGAAAGCAUCUAAGCACGAAACUUGCCCCGAGAUGAGUUCUCCCUGAGACUUAAAGUCUCCUGAAGGAACGUUGAAGACGACGACGUUGAUAGGCCGGGUGUGUAAGCGCAGCGAUGCGUUGAGCUAACCGGUACUAAUGAACCGUGAGGCUUAACCUUACAACGCCGAAG